GACGAACGCUGGCGGCGUGCUUAACACAUGCAAGUCGAACGGAAAGGCCUUGCUUGUGGGGUGUGCGCGAGUGGCGAACGGGUGUGUAACACGUGUAUAAUCUCCCCUUGACUUUGGGAUAAUUUCAGGAAACUGGCGCUAAUACCGUAGAAGAUCUCCCGCUGCAUGGGGGGGGGUGGAAAGUUUAGGCGGUUGGGGAUGGACUCGCGGCUUAUCAGCUUGUUGGUGGGGUAGUGGCUUACCAAGGCUUUGACGGGUAGCCGGCCUGAGAGGGUGACCGGCCACAUUGGGACUGAGAUACGGCCCAGACUCCUACGGGAGGCAGCAGUGGGGAAUAUUGCACAAUGGGCGGAAGCCUGAUGCAGCAACGCCGCGUGCGGGAUGACGGCCUUCGGGUUGUAAACCGCUUUCGCCUGUGACGAAGCGUGAGUGACGGUAAUGGGUAAAGAAGCACCGGCUAACUACGUG
This 468-nucleotide ribosomal RNA is filed under the name uncultured bacterium. Its description in RNAcentral is "partial 16S ribosomal RNA". It matches the Rfam family "Bacterial small subunit ribosomal RNA", at positions 28 to 507 of the family's 1533-position model. The record is from RNAcentral.